This 450-nucleotide ribosomal RNA is filed under the name uncultured Ochrobactrum sp. Its description in RNAcentral is "partial 16S ribosomal RNA". The record is from RNAcentral. Lineage: Bacteria; Pseudomonadati; Pseudomonadota; Alphaproteobacteria; Hyphomicrobiales; Brucellaceae.
CACGAAGUUAGCCGGGGCUUCUUCUCCGGUUACCGUCAUUAUCUUCACCGGUGAAAGAGCUUUACAACCCUAGGGCCUUCAUCACUCACGCGGCAUGGCUGGAUCAGGCUUGCGCCCAUUGUCCAAUAUUCCCCCACUGCUGCCUCCCGUAGGAGUCUGGGCCGUGUCUCAGUCCCAGUGUGGCUGAUCAUCCUCUCAGACCAGCUAUGGAUCGUCGCCUUGGUGGGCCUUUACCCCACCAACUAGCUAAUCCAACGCGGGCUCAUCCUUUGCCGAUAAAUCUUUCCCCCGAAGGGCACAUACGGUAUUAGCACAAGUUUCCCUGAGUUAUUCCGUAGCAAAAGGUAGAUUCCCACGCGUUACUCACCCGUCUGCCGCUCCCCUUGCGGGGCGCUCGACUUGCAUGUGUUAAGCCUGCCGCCAGCGUUCGUUCUGAGCCAGGAUCAACUC